GUGUCAGCAGCCGCGGUAAUACGGAGGGUGCGAGCGUUGUUCGGAAUUAUUGGGCGUAAAGCGCGUGUAGGCGGUUUGUUAAGUCUGAUGUGAAAGCCCUGGGCUCAACCCAGGAAGUGCAUUGGAUACUGGCAGACUUGAAUACGGGAGAGGGCAGUGGAAUUCCUGGUGUAGGAGUGAAAUCCGUAGAUAUCAGGAGGAACACCGGUGGCGAAGGCGGCUGCCUGGACCGAUAUUGACGCUGAGACGCGAAAGCGUGGGUAGCAAACAGGAUUAGAAACCCCCGUAGUCC
Molecule: ribosomal RNA, 292 nt
Filed under: uncultured bacterium
Lineage: Bacteria
Description: partial 16S ribosomal RNA
Rfam family: Bacterial small subunit ribosomal RNA
Source: RNAcentral